CUGUCUCCGUAUGAGUGAGAUUCAAUUCCGGCUGCAGUGCAGGGAAGUAAUGGCCAAUUAUACACCAAGAUGACUGACCUGUCAUUUCCCUGAUCAGCCCUGGAUCCCUUUUAAAAAAUGGGUGCUGAUUAAAAGCAGUUUUCCAGGUACCGGGUGGAAGAAAGUUAGCAGCCGUACAUCAUGUCUGCCUGUAGCUUGUUCUAAGCUUUUAUAUCCACCCCACUUAAUUAUUAUUAUUUCAUGCAUCAUCGCCCCAUUUGCUAACAAAGCUUGCAGACUCUUUGGAGGCAUCAGUUAAAAAUCUAUAGUCCCUCAGGUUGAAACCCUCAGCAGAAGCUUCCUCAUUAGCACAUAUUUCUUGCUGAGAUGUGGCUGUUAUUGCUACUUGCACCCAUUUCAGAUGUCCUCACCUUCACUGGCCGCUGAAUGUUCAAAGCACCAUGGAGAUACCAGCCACAGAGGAGAAUCUGCUAGCACAAAAGCAAGCAACAACCUUGUUGGCCUUCUUCCUUAGCUUUAGCACUCUGAACGAAUGUCCUGCAUUAUAAAGGCAAUUAUAAAGUAAUUGCUCAUUGUGAUUGCCAUUAAACGCAGGCUCUCUGCUUUCAGAAAGGAAGAUGGGAGGAUAGAAUGAGAAAUAAUUGCUGAAUUGAUGCAAAGGUUUAACUAUUAUUGCCAUCUCCUUUCCAACUUCCUUUGUUCAACAAUCCAGCUCAUUAUCAGCUGUUUGGCCAGCAACAUGAAGAGCUAAGUCACCUGCUUGCACAUUAAGGACCACAAUGCAGAAUAAUAAGAAAAAGUAGGUAUAUUUGAUGUCAAUGUUGUACAGGGAUGUCAAACUUAAGGCCCACGGGCUGCAUCUGGCCCGUGGGGUGUAUUGAUCUGGCCUGCGGGGCUGCCCUGGAAAUAGCAAAGGACUGGCCCACAGUGCCUCUUCCAGCGAAAA
This is a non-coding RNA of Notechis scutatus (mainland tiger snake), 946 nucleotides long. The record is from RefSeq and is a predicted model, not a curated record. Lineage: Eukaryota; Metazoa; Chordata; Lepidosauria; Squamata; Elapidae.